GCUCCUGUAGUUCAAUGGAUAGAACAAGGGUUUUCUAAACCUUAAACAGAGGUCCGACUCCUCUCAGGAGCA
This 72-nucleotide transfer RNA is filed under the name Parcubacteria group bacterium CG1_02_37_13. RNAcentral describes it as "tRNA-Arg". It matches the Rfam family "tRNA". Rfam says of the family: Transfer RNA (tRNA) molecules are approximately 80 nucleotides in length. Their secondary structure includes four short double-helical elements and three loops (D, anti-codon, and T loops). RNAcentral also lists the same sequence under 2 other names. The record is from RNAcentral.